Molecule: long non-coding RNA, 587 nt
Organism: Musa acuminata AAA Group (dessert banana)
Lineage: Eukaryota; Viridiplantae; Streptophyta; Magnoliopsida; Zingiberales; Musaceae
Exons: 3
Source: RefSeq, a predicted model, not a curated record
GUUAUGAGAUUAUAUCACUUUCUGGAACUUUUGUGGACAAAACACCUGUUGGAGCAUCGGUCACUGGAGGGUUGCCAAUAUGCCUCUCCAGUAGCUCUGGUCAUCUCGUGGGGGGGCUACUGGAUGGUCCUUUAACUGCUACAAAUCGUGUCCAGGUAACUCUUGGAUCUUUCUGAUGUGACAGUGAUGGAGACUUCAAUGCCCCCACUAAAACAGCUACUGCUUCUGCUGUCCAAUCAUCCACUUCAUUGCAAGCUGGCUCAGCAUUAUAUUCUCCAGGCUCACAUCCUCAAUAGUGGGAAAUUUACGAGUGAAACAAAUGCUAUUUACCGAAGUUGUGGUGCAAGUGACAUCAGUCAUGUGAUCCAAGAAUCCCCGACCGACUGGACAGGAAGGUGAGAUGGUGGACAUGGUGGGGCAUCUCGGUUCCUAGAUGAUCAAAAUGAUGAAAAAUUAUAGUAUACAGAAAAUUUUUCUUGAUUGUAAAAGUGUUCACCAUCUUCCUUGUUGGCUACAUCCUCGGUGAGGAAUUCAUGCACAGCCCUCCAAAUUUUCGUGUGCUAUUCUUCAUUUUAGUUUGAUCUGUA